GCUGGAAGUUCAACAGUUCUGGCAUACAAAUACAGCUUCCAUUUCGAUCAAAAGGUUUGAUUUUUCUGGGAAAGCAUAUUUGCCUCAAUUGUCUAGAUUAUUCUGAAAUUUAUCUGUGUAGUCUGUUGAUAACUUAUAAGACUAACUUUUUACUGUCUACUAGAACACUAAAUCAAAGCUGCACCUGUUUUAAGAGUACAGUGUGGUGUGAAACAGACAUUCACUCAUGUGGGACAGCACUAUAACUGAGAUAUUAGUCUCAUAGUAACACACACACACACUGAGGAAGGUCACGGCGUGACAAAAAAGGUUUACUACAGAGCUAUAAAGUUUGAAAAACAAUGAAAAUAUCACUAAUUGCCGCUGCAUUGUUACUGGUGGCGCAUUUGGUGGAAGCCACCAGUGAGAGAUCGGAAAACGAAGUUAAUUCUGUCCAGAAACGGUCUUCACUCAUGAAAGGUCUUGCUCGCGAAAGAGCAUGCGGCUCCACUACCUGCAAGGUGUCGGGCUGUAAGUCCGGGGGUGGCUGGUGGUUUGUGUCGUAUUCUGCGGGCUGGAACAUACGGGGCUCUGACCGCGGUUGCUGUGGCAACUACAGUGGCUGCUGCAGGCAUGCUUCUGACUUGUGCUACAUACACGACUACACGUGUCGCUGUUGUAUACCUAGCUUGUAUUGUGGACCCCAGUGCAAGAAAAAUCCUGGCUGUUGACACCUUUUCAUAAAUACCAUUACUCAAACAAACUUGCAUUUACCAGGCCUGUUUUUUAAAGGCCCUUUGACAUUGCUGACAUUGAAAACGGUUCCUAUACAAAAAUUUGAAAUUGUAGUAGAUUUUUCAUUAUGGUAUAAGAUUUGUAGAAUGUACCUCCGGCAGACGAUGAGCUGUCAGUAAAUGAAAUCUCUUAGCAAAAUGAAAAGUUUGCAGCAAUACUGCUGCAAACUAAAAAAUUGCGGCAACGAGUUUGCAAGAAAAAAAAUGUUAUUGCUUAUUUGCAGCCAUAUUGCAACAUAGUUGCUGGAAAAUUGCAAGAAGGAAUUGCUGGUUGAAGCAAUUUUGCUGCAAGUUUGCAAAGGGAUGUGAUUCCAUGAAUGUUCAUAAUCGGCCACGAGAUUGUAAAAGAACACUAAAUUAAACCAUUAACAGUUUCAGCGUCCAGAAUGGUCGUUAUAUAUGCGUAACAGAAAU
Long non-coding RNA from Lingula anatina, 1187 nucleotides. The record is from RefSeq and is a predicted model, not a curated record. Lineage: Eukaryota; Metazoa; Brachiopoda; Lingulata; Lingulida; Lingulidae.